UACCUGCAGCUCAAGUGGUGGCCGCUAUUAUUGGGCCUAAAACGUUCGUAGCCGGUUGAGUAAAUGCCUGGGUAAAUUGUGCCGCUUAACGGUACGAAUUCCGGGUAGACUACUCAGCUUGAGACCGGGAGAAGCUAGAGGUACUCCUGGGGUAGAGGUGAAAUUCUGUAAUCCUGGGGGGACCACCAGUGGCGAAGGCGUCUAGCUAGAACGGGUCUGACGGUGAGGAACGAAACCCUGGGGCGCAAACCGGAUUAGAUACCCGGGUAGUCCAGGGCGCAAACGCUGCUUGCUUGAUGUUAGCUGGGCUCCGAGCUCAGCUAGUGUCGGAGAGAAGUUGUUAAGCAAGCUGCCUGGGAAGUACGAUCGCAAGAUUGAAACUUAAAGGAAUUGGCGGGGAGCACGGCAACGGGUGGAGCGUGCGGUUU
This 428-nucleotide ribosomal RNA is filed under the name uncultured archaeon. Its description in RNAcentral is "bacterial SSU rRNA". It matches the Rfam family "Archaeal small subunit ribosomal RNA", at positions 474 to 903 of the family's 1478-position model. The record is from RNAcentral.